AUUGAACGCUGGCGGCAGGCCUAACACAUGCAAGUCGAGCGGAUGAAGGGAGCUUGCUCCUGGAUUCAGCGGCGGACGGGUGAGUAAUGCCUAGGAAUCUGCCUGGUAGUGGGGGAUAACGUCCGGAAACGGGCGCUAAUACCGCAUACGUCCUGAGGGAGAAAGAGGGGGAUCUUCGGACCUCACGCUAUAAGAUGAGCCUAGGUCGGAUUAGCUAGUUGGUGGGGUAAAGGCCUACCAAGGCGACGAUCCGUAACUGGUCUGAGAGGAUGAUCAGUCACACUGGAACUGAGACACGGUCCAGACUCCUACGGGAGGCAGCAGUGGGGAAUAUUGGACAAUGGGCGAAAGCCUGAUCCAGCCAUGCCGCGUGUGUGAAGAAGGUCUUCGGAUUGUAAAGCACUUUAAGUUGGGAGGAAGGGCAGUAAGUUAAUACCUUGCUGUUUUGACGUUACCAACAGAAUAAGCACCGGCUAACUUCGUG
Molecule: ribosomal RNA, 484 nt
Filed under: uncultured bacterium
Lineage: Bacteria
Description: partial 16S ribosomal RNA
Rfam family: Bacterial small subunit ribosomal RNA
Source: RNAcentral